Molecule: unclassified non-coding RNA, 162 nt
Filed under: uncultured Filobasidium
Lineage: Eukaryota; Fungi; Basidiomycota; Tremellomycetes; Filobasidiales; Filobasidiaceae
Description: sequence contains ITS1
Source: RNAcentral
AUGAAUAAAGGUAUCACGCCUCACGGCUGUGUGUUGGAUCAUUGUGCAAUAGUCUUUGAUCCACUUCCUAUCAUAUCCAUAACACCUGUGCACUGUUGGAUGCUUGCAUCCACUUUUAAACUAACAUUAUUGUAACAAAUGUAGUCUUAUUAUAACAUAAUA